RNAcentral lists this non-coding RNA (21 nucleotides) under Arabidopsis thaliana (thale cress). The record is from RNAcentral. Lineage: Eukaryota; Viridiplantae; Streptophyta; Magnoliopsida; Brassicales; Brassicaceae.
UAAAGGGAGCCACACACCUGG